Long non-coding RNA from Dermochelys coriacea (leatherback sea turtle), 3459 nucleotides. RefSeq lists it as uncharacterized. The transcript is spliced from 3 exons. The record is from RefSeq and is a predicted model, not a curated record. NCBI's taxonomy places the organism in Eukaryota, Metazoa, Chordata, Testudines, Dermochelyidae.
ACACACACCGGGAUCAGGGAGAGGGAAAGGGCAGCCUGGCGUAAGAAAAUAUUUACCAGUGACUCAGGCGCAACCAGGGGGUGCAAAGUCUUACCAAGGUGACUGAGAGGGCAGCGUAGGUGCCAGCUAAUAGAUCUGCUCUAGUCACAUGGGUCAAAGGAGUGUUGACAGAUCAUGUUAAUCGGUAAUGUUACCUAUUGUUAGAUAUCUGUGGGUCCCUGGUCUUCAGCGAGGCAGUUUCUUUAACCCCCUCAUCACCGUAUUUCUUCCAACGAGGAAUAUAUGUAAAAAAUAUCCACCCUCCCCCCAAAUCCCGGGCAAUUAGUUAAUUGUGAUCUUUUUUUUUUUUUACACCGAAGAACUUGCAGACCUGACGUCUAGGGAGGGAACAGAUCAGGGUUUAUGUGUGUUUAUCCUUCUGUCCGCUGGCUAUGAACUCUUCCCCUGGCCUUCACGGUAGGGUUUAAUAUUUCCCAGUAAUAUUUCACUCCAGAUUCAGCGACCCAAGGGGACACUCUCCUGCUAGCACUGAACCCAAUGGAGAAAUUCUCCUUCACUUCAGCUGGGCCCCAGGAACACAAGCUAAAAGAAAGGGGCGCCAGAGAAACGCUGGCCCUGGGGUUCAAGCCACAUCCUCACAGGCUGUAGUCAAACGAAUAGAAAAAUCUCAGUCACCAGGGGACAAAGAGGGGGAGGCAAAGUCCCAGCUAGGUAGGAUGUCCUUCUUCGAUGUUCUUGGGCCAAGGAGGGACUCUAGCAUAAAGAUGCUCUGAUACUCACUUGAUAGAUUGUCAUUCUUGACAGACUACAAAUAGAGCAUCAGUCUGUGAUGAGCCACGCAGCCUGGGAUCCAUUUGUGAAUUAGGAUGAUCUCUAAAACGCUGAUUGCAGUAGUAAUUUCCGGCACUAAAUCCUAUUAUUUAACAGAGAUGUGUACAUGCAAUAACAGGAUAUUCCCAGGCAAGCAACACUUUCCUAUGAUACAGGUACAAGACUUCAUUCUCCUUGCAAUCAUUUCCCUUCCCUUCCGUUUUGAAAGGCGCCUGACAAAGCGAUCAAGAUUCCCCAAAGGCCAUUGGGUAAACCAUCCAGCUGCGUAGAAUGGUUUGGGCUCCGCAUCCUUUUAACCAUAUAAUAACAGGACCGUGUCUGAAGUGUUGCCACUCAAGAUUUAGGAUGAUUCUCCAUUUGUAGCCUUUUCUCAGAGAGAAGGGCCAUUUCCAGGCACUUUCGCUUGUACCUGGUAUUAGGGGGAAUUUAAUGAAGAUGCUAAAGGUCUUGGGGGGCAUUUGUGCUAAAGAUAAAUUCAGGCAGUUGUAACCAUUCGAUCUGCUACAAUCUGUGCAGCUGCUGCUGCUUGCUGAGAGCUGGACAAUUUAGCAGCCACUGUGGUUCUGGACCCAGACGCUUGCACUGACACACCAAUGCUGGAUGAAGUGAAGUGUGUCAUCUGCAAACUGGAAAACAGACGUACAACCUGCACUGAUGGCAUCCUUCUAGAGCUCCUAAAAUGCGCUAUUGACCCUGUAGCGGAAUCACUUCUGGCCAUCUUUCGUCCGGUGUGGAGAACUGGAACCUUGCCAAUCACCUGGAAGGAUGGUAUUGUGAUCUCAUUUUAUAAGGGCAAGGGACAGCGCAGUGAAUGUAAGAGUUACAGGCCAAUCCCCUUGUUGUCUGUGCCAGGGAAGAUGUUUGCACCUGUUCUGCUGGCGUGUACAUCAGUAGCAUCGCCCCUAAUAAUCAGGCUUUAUGAGGAACGGGUCCAUAUUAGACACCAUUUUGACCCUAAGCUUGUUGUUGGAGAUACACCACAAGUUCAAGAAGUUCCUGCACAUAGUGUAUGUCGAUCUUAAGGCUGCAUUUGAUUCAGUUGACUGUGUCAGAUUAUGGAAGGCCUCAAAGGGUAUAGGUGUCCCAAUCACUGCUGGACUUGAUUAGCAUGCUGCAUAAUGCAACCACUGUCUGUGUAUGUCUUGGGAAUCAGAUGUUGGCAUCUUUUAAAUCAGUAUCUGGUGUCAGGCAGGGCUGUGUCUUGGGCCCUGAACUCUUUUGUCGGACAAUGGAUUUCAUAAUACAGUAUUCCAUCAGGUCCACAGGCAUUUAAGAUUGGUGAUCUCUUGCUCUUGGACCUUGACUAUGCUGAUGACAUGGUUCUUCUAGUACACAGCCCCGACAAGUUUCAUGAGGCAUUCUAGCAAAUGGAGGAGGAGUCGGCCAAGAUUGGCCUCUAUGUUUUGUGGUCAAAAACAAAGCUGCAAAACCUAUCAUCAGGUCCACCCAUGACUCCAAUCUCUUUGAAUAAGAAAUUGCCAAAGCAGUCUCCAGCUUUUGCUAUUUGGGUUCUAUACACCUGUUCCUCCAACUCUCACAUGGAAGUACUUCAUCGGAUUGGCAUCACAGAGUCUGCUAUGGAAUCAACAUCAUCUCCAGAUGACAACCAAGUUCAGGAUCUAUUUGAGCUGUAUCCUUUCCAUACUGCUGUACAAUUGUAAAACAUGGACCCUAUGCUGCUCAGACUGGGCAAAGCUGGAGGCUUUUCACACAUAAUACUAAUGUCAUUUAUUGGGCAUAAAUUGGAACGACUUCAUUUGUAAUGCAGAUGUUUGCAGAUUCUCUAGUCUACAGGCUAUUGGGGCCAUUGUACAUAGAUGGUGUCUUACACUUUUCGGAUAUGUCACCAGAAUGCCACAUGAUGUUCCAGCAAACGCUGUUCUUCAGGUGGCUUGCAACAUCUGGGAUAAAAUUCCACCAACUGAGGGCUGGAGGUGGCCUAAAGGAAGACCCACUAUUACAUGGGUUCUAACAUUGGACUCUUGGUCUGUCAAGCCCGUGCGGCCACACAGGAAUGGACCAAAUGGCGAACGAUAGCUACAGCCAACCAUUUGGCUAAGUGUUGAAGAAGAAGAAAAAAGUGUUUCUCAAUUACUUAACCUCACAGGAAAACUAUUCUUCUAUAUGUAAAUUUUCCUUGGGGUAACAGGAGUUUGGCAAAUGUGAUUACAGACUUAUUUAAAAUGGAAUCAAAGAGAGACAGAUAGUUCUUUAGAAAUUAUUUUCUUCUCCAUAGUGGCCACCUUUAACACUUUUUUAUGCCUCAGUUUUAAUAAUCUAUAUUAAUGUUGUUUUUUAGCUGAUUUUAAUGUCAGCUAGGGAUUAAUGUGUAUUAAUUAAAUUGACUGUAUUUUCUUUAAUGAGCAGAAAAAAGAUUUCAUGUUAAUGCUGAUGAUCGUAAGAAGGAUUUUGUCUACUUCUCUGUAUUUUCUCAACAUCUUGAAAUAUUUUAUUAGAAAAUGAAUUAAUUUAGUUACAGUUGCCUGGUAAAAACAAACCAAACCAGGUGACUGCAAACUGGUUCUGUCGUUACUGAGAUGUAUGACGAUCAAACCAUAAUAUUUUCACUUAGUAAAAUAUGAAUUCACUGUGAAACAUUAUUUUGUGCUAAAUACGUAAUUUAUGCUG